AGUAGGGGCUGAAGGUAUGCAUGUUGAUCAGCAGGGGCUGAAGGUAUGCAUGUUGAUCAGUAGGGGCUGAAGGUAUGCAUGUUGAUCAGUAGGGGCUGAAGGUAUGCAUGUUGAUCAGCAGGGGCUGAAGGUAUGCAUGUUGAUCAGUAGGGGCUGAAGGUAUGCAUGUUGAUCAGUAGGGGCUGAAGGUAUGCAUGUUGAUCAGUAGGGGCUGAAGGUAUGCAUGUUGAUCAGUAGGGGCUGAAGGUAUGCAUGUUGAUCAGCAGGGGCUGAAGGUAUGCAUGUUGAUCAGCAGGGGCUGAAG
This is a long non-coding RNA of Oncorhynchus tshawytscha (Chinook salmon), 304 nucleotides long. The record is from Ensembl. NCBI's taxonomy places the organism in Eukaryota, Metazoa, Chordata, Actinopteri, Salmoniformes, Salmonidae.